RNAcentral lists this ribosomal RNA (441 nucleotides) under uncultured bacterium. RNAcentral's name for it is "partial 16S ribosomal RNA". It matches the Rfam family "Bacterial small subunit ribosomal RNA", at positions 338 to 795 of the family's 1533-position model. The record is from RNAcentral.
CCUACGGGUGGCAGCAGUGGGGGAUAUUGCACAAUGGGGGAAACCCUGAUGCAGCGACGCCGCGUGGGUGAAGAAGUAUUUCGGUAUGUAAAGCCCUAUCAGCAGGGAAGAAAGAAGACGGUACCUGACUAAGAACCCCCGGCUAACUACGUGCCAGCAGCCGCGGUAAUACGUAGGGGGCGAGUGUUAUCCGGAUUCACUGGGUGUAAAGGGAGCGUAGACGGCCGUGCAAGCCAGGAGUGAAAGCCCGGGGCCCAACCCCGGGACUGCUGUUGGAACUGUGCGGCUGGAGUGCGGGAGGGGCAGGCGGAAUGCCUGGUGUAGCGGUGAAAUGCGUAGAUAUCAGGAGGAACACCGGCGGCGAAGGCGGCCUGCUGGACCGCGACUGACGUUGAGGCUCGAAAGCGUGGGGAGCGAACAGGAUUAGAUACCCUAGUAGUC